RNAcentral lists this ribosomal RNA (468 nucleotides) under uncultured bacterium. RNAcentral describes it as "partial 16S ribosomal RNA". It matches the Rfam family "Bacterial small subunit ribosomal RNA", at positions 28 to 507 of the family's 1533-position model. The record is from RNAcentral.
GAUGAACGCUGGCGGCGUGCUUAACACAUGCAAGUCGAACGGAAAGGCCCAAGCUUGCUUGGGUACUCGAGUGGCGAACGGGUGAGUAACACGUGGGUGAUCUGCCCUGCACUUCGGGAUAAGCCUGGGAAACUGGGUCUAAUACCGGAUAGGACGAUGGUUUGGAUGCCAUUGUGGAAAGUUUUUUCGGUGUGGGAUGAGCUCGCGGCCUAUCAGCUUGUUGGUGGGGUAAUGGCCUACCAAGGCGUCGACGGGUAGCCGGCCUGAGAGGGUGUACGGCCACAUUGUGACUGAGAUACGGCCCAGACUCCUACGGGGGGCAGCAGUGGGGAAUAUUGCACAAUGUGCGCAAGCCUGAUGCAGCGACGCCGCGUGGGGGAUGACGGCCUUCGGGUUGUAAACUCCUUUCGCUAGGGACGAAGCGUUUUUGUGACGGUACCUGGAGAAGAAGCACCGGCUAACUACGUG